UACGGGGGGGGCAAGCGUUGUUCGGAAUUACUGGGCGUAAAGGGCUCGUAGGUGGUCAACUAAGUCGGACGUGAAAUCCCUCGGCUUAACCGGGGAACUGCGUCCGAUACUGGAUGACUUGAGUUCGGGAGAGGGAUGCGGAAUUCCAGGUGUAGCGGUGAAAUGCGUAGAUAUCUGGAGGAACACCGGUGGCGAAGGCGGCAUCCUGGACCACGACUGACGCUGAGUGAGCGAAAGCCAGGGGAGCAAACGGG
This 254-nucleotide ribosomal RNA is filed under the name uncultured bacterium. Its description in RNAcentral is "partial 16S ribosomal RNA". It matches the Rfam family "Bacterial small subunit ribosomal RNA", at positions 524 to 776 of the family's 1533-position model. The record is from RNAcentral.